CAGCUCCUGCAGGUAGGGUCAGCUUUCCAAGACCAUCUCUUGGAAAGUCCUUUGAAGGACUGAAGCUCAUCACCUGUGCUGAGAACCUGGAAGGUGAAACUAAAGUUGGCAAGGUUGGGACUAAAUUCAAGAUGCCUGCCUUUACAUUUUAAGCUUUCUCUGUUAUUCCAUAACAUAAGAAACAGAAAUACAAAAGUGAACAUCAGUUGGGAAGAUCUGAAUAGUUAAAGCAGAAUUUCUCAAGUUGGCUGUGAAUUGAUGCUAACAUUGUCACCAGGUGUUAUAGCCUUGCAAGCUCAUCAUCUGGGACAAAGCAUCUUGAUGAUGGGAGUGUGUUGUUAUGGAGACAAUGAAAUGAUAAAUAGUUAAUAAUGCUCAAGGGAAUAAAAAGCCUCCCUUGAUGCUGGUUUUGCCUUCCAUUUUAAGGCUUUUGUUUCC
Molecule: non-coding RNA, 438 nt
Organism: Heterocephalus glaber (naked mole-rat)
Lineage: Eukaryota; Metazoa; Chordata; Mammalia; Rodentia; Bathyergidae
Source: RefSeq, a predicted model, not a curated record